GAUGAACGCUGGCGGCGUGCCUAAUACAUGCAAGUCGAGCGAACAGACUAGGAGCUUGCUCCUCUGACGUUAGCGGCGGACGGGUGAGUAACACGUGGAUAACCUACCUAUAAGACUGGGAUAACUUCGGGAAACCGGAGCUAAUACCGGAUAAUAUAUUGAACCGCAUGGUUCAAUAGUGAAAGACGGUUUUGCUGUCACUUAUAGAUGGAUCCGCGCCGCAUUAGCUAGUUGGUAAGGUAACGGCUUACCAAGGCAACGAUGCGUAGCCGACCUGAGAGGGUGAGAGGCAACACGGGAACAGUGACACGUCCCAGACGCCCAGGGGGGGCCGGGGGGGGGAAUUUCGGAGAAUGGGCGAAUGCGUGCGGGCGCGAGCCCGGGGGGGGGAGAGAGGUCUGGGGGCCUUAAAACUUUGUUAUUGUGAAAAACAAAGUGUAGAAGAAACUAUGCUCGUGGUGAGGGUACCUAGUAAAAAAGCCCCGGCUAACUACGUG
RNAcentral lists this ribosomal RNA (497 nucleotides) under uncultured bacterium. Its description in RNAcentral is "partial 16S ribosomal RNA". It matches the Rfam family "Bacterial small subunit ribosomal RNA", at positions 28 to 507 of the family's 1533-position model. The record is from RNAcentral.